RNAcentral lists this non-coding RNA (76 nucleotides) under Pseudomonas japonica. Lineage: Bacteria; Pseudomonadati; Pseudomonadota; Gammaproteobacteria; Pseudomonadales; Pseudomonadaceae. The record is from RNAcentral.
AACCGCCGGAUGCGGAAAACCGCACGUCCGGUGGUGUGGGAGGGGUGACGGGCUGGUCCCGUCACCUCGACCCAAU